RNAcentral lists this ribosomal RNA (1416 nucleotides) under Triticum aestivum (bread wheat). Its description in RNAcentral is "partial small subunit ribosomal RNA". Lineage: Eukaryota; Viridiplantae; Streptophyta; Magnoliopsida; Poales; Poaceae. The record is from RNAcentral.
AUGCUGCGGCGCCGCCUGGGGACGUGGCCAUGGCCGGCGGUAAGGCGGGGGCUGUCGCGGCUGGCGCCGCCUGCGCCCGCGGCGGUGGUGCGCGUGGACAGCAACAACGUGGCCCGCCUCGGCGCGCCCAAGCCCGGGCCGAGGCCGCGGCAGCUGCUUUCCCUGCCGCCGUUCCCCGCCGGGGCCGACCCGCUCCCCGGGAGGAAGGUGGCGCCGCGCCACGUGACGGCGGUCAGCUGGGUGAAGCACUGCUUCGCCGACGUGCCGCAGGAGGUCGUGCAGGCGCACUUCAACAAGAGGCAGGUUUACACUGAGUGCUCAGAUCAGGAGGUUUCAGCAGAGGGCAUUUGGUGCCGGAAGCAUCAUUUGAAGAAGAUCAAGCAUUCUGAAGUGAUGGAGCCUGGCAUGAGAAUUCAUCUUCCUGUGUCUGUGGCUGAGGCCGAGAUAAAGAAGCGGUAUGAGACCAUUCCAACUGCCACACUGCAUCCCAAUAGGGAUGAGAUUGAGUACCUGAAAAGGCUUGUCAUCUACAAGGACUCAGCCAUACUUGUGCUUAACAAGCCUCCAAAAGUGCCCAUGAAGGGGAAUUUACCAGUACAUAACAGUAUGGAUGUGCUUGCAGCAGCAGCACUGUCAUAUGGGAAUGAAGAGGGUCCGAAAUUGGUCCACCGACUGGACAGAGAUACUAGUGGUUUGCUGUUGAUGGGGAGAACAAGAGAAAGCUUUACCCGGCUGCACUGGCUCUUCACUAGCAUCAAAUUGGCAAGAACAGCUUCGCAGACAUGGAAUACCGCCUGUGAAUCAUACGUGCAGAGGUACUGGGCGUUGGUAAUUGGGACCCCUACAGAGAGUGAAGGAGUUAUAUCUGCUCCUCUCACAAAGGUACUUCUUGAUGAUGGAAAAGCUGAGAGGGUCAUUCUGGCGCAUCCCUCUGGCAUAGAUGGUGCACAGGAGGCUGUUACUGAGUAUCGAGUGAUGGGACCAACCAUCAAUGGCUGUUCCUGGAUUGAGUUGCGCCCAUUGACAGGCCGGAAGCAUCAGCUCAGAGUGCACUGUGCGGAAGCCUUAGGCACUCCCAUUGUUGGAGAUUACAAAUAUGGGUGGUUCGUGCACCAAAGGUGGAAGCAGAAUCCCCAACCGGAUUUUGAGCCGUUUACUGGGGAACCAUACAAGCUGAGGCGGCCUGAAGGCUUGGAGGUUCAGAAGGGCAGUGUUCUCUCUAAAGUCCCUUUGCUGCACCUGCAUUGCCGGGAGAUGGUGGUCCCGAACAUCUCAAAGUUCCUGAGUAACACCGGAGAGUGGCAUGAUAAUGGCACCCCAUGGUCCGAGGAGAAGCCGAAUCUCCUAAGGUUCAUCGCGCCGUUGCCCGCGCACAUGAAAAUUAGCUGGAAUAUAAUGUCUUCCUACCUGGUGUGA